RNAcentral lists this ribosomal RNA (498 nucleotides) under uncultured bacterium. RNAcentral describes it as "partial 16S ribosomal RNA". It matches the Rfam family "Bacterial small subunit ribosomal RNA", at positions 29 to 523 of the family's 1533-position model. The record is from RNAcentral.
AUUGAACGCUGGCGGAAUGCUUUACACAUGCAAGUCGAGCGGCAGCGCGGGGCAACCUGGCGGCGAGCGGCGAACGGGUGAGUAAUACAUCGGAACGUACCCUGUCGUGGGGGAUAACGAGUCGAAAGAUUCGCUAAUACCGCAUACGACCUGAGGGUGAAAGCGGGGGAUCGCAAGACCUCGCGCGAUAGGAGCGGCCGAUGGCGGAUUAGCUAGUUGGUGAGGUAAAGGCUCACCAAGGCGACGAUCCGUAGCGGGUCUGAGAGGACGACCCGCCACGCUGGAACUGAGACACGGUCCAGACUCCUACGGGAGGCAGCAGUGGGGAAUUUUGGACAAUGGGGGCAACCCUGAUCCAGCCAUUCCGCGUGAGUGAAGAAGGCCUUCGGGUUGUAAAGCUCUUUCGGCAGGAACGAAACGGUCCUUUCUAAUACAAGGGGCUAAUGACGGUACCUGAAGAAGAAGCACCGGCUAACUACGUGCCAGCAGCCGCAGUAA